RNAcentral lists this transfer RNA (75 nucleotides) under SAR86 cluster bacterium. Its description in RNAcentral is "tRNA-Gln". It matches the Rfam family "tRNA". From Rfam's summary of the family: Transfer RNA (tRNA) molecules are approximately 80 nucleotides in length. Their secondary structure includes four short double-helical elements and three loops (D, anti-codon, and T loops). Lineage: Bacteria; Pseudomonadati; Pseudomonadota; Gammaproteobacteria. The record is from RNAcentral.
UGGGGUGUGGCCAAGUGGUAAGGCAGCGCCUUUUGGUGGCGCUAUUCGUAGGUUCGAAUCCUACCACCCCAGCCA